This 333-nucleotide long non-coding RNA is filed under the name Nicotiana benthamiana. RNAcentral describes it as "long non-coding RNA (NBEN_LNC030497)". Lineage: Eukaryota; Viridiplantae; Streptophyta; Magnoliopsida; Solanales; Solanaceae. The record is from RNAcentral.
UGGAAUUUCCUCCUCUCUUAACUCUCUCUUAGCUUCUCUUAGAAACCCAAGCCGCCACCUUCAAUCACCACCCAAAACCGACCAAAUCCAUGGCUUCCAAAGUCAUUGAUGGCUUGUAUCUACUUUAUGUGACUCCUACACGCUUGAUUACCAUGGUUUUUAGGUCAAACCUUGAAGAAGCCUGGCCCAGACCUUGUCCGAUUUGAAUAUUCCGAUCAUCUCUAGGCUUGCUCCGGUGGCUCUUGGUCUUCUAAGCCUGUUUCUGACCUCAUCCGGCUUAGAGCGGGUUUUUCCAAGUCUUUCUCAUUUUUAGGGUUCUUCUAAAACCCUGAC